Equus caballus (horse) is the source of this 2658-nucleotide non-coding RNA. NCBI's taxonomy places the organism in Eukaryota, Metazoa, Chordata, Mammalia, Perissodactyla, Equidae. The record is from the annotation of a RefSeq genome assembly.
AUAAGAAGUCACAUAGAUUGUAAUUUUUUAAGCCAUUUUAAUAUAUCUGUAGUGGUAUCUACAUUUUGUUGUUAAUUUUCAUUUCCUUAGUGACUUGUGAUGUUGAGCAGCUUUUCAGGUGGUAUUUGUAGUCUGUCUCUUUUUCUGUUGGUGAAACAUUUGAUCAAAUCUUUGCUUAUUUUCAAAUUCAGGCUCCCCAGCUGAGUUUUACUCAUUUGUGUGUGUGCAUUUAGAUUGAUGUGAUUUUAUUCUGUGAGUAGGUUCAUAUAGCCACCAGCACAGUCAAGAUAAAAAACAGUUCCAGGUCCAUAAGGAUCCCUCCGGUUGUCCAUUAUGACAACAUCCACCUCCUCCCUCUGAGGUGCCAUUUGCUGCACCUAACACCUGGCACCCACUAAUUGAUUCUCCAUUUGUAAAGUUUUGUCUUUUCAGAAAUGAUAUACAUAAAUAAACAGUAGAGUCCUACAGUAUGUAGCCUUUUGGAAUUGACAUUUUUCACUCUGCAUAAUCUCUUGUAUGUUCAUCAAUAUCAUUGUGUGCAUUAAGAGUACAGUCCUUUUCAUUGCUGAGUAGUAUUCCAUGGUCAUGGUGUACCAAAGUCUGCUUUUUCAUCCACCCAGUGAAGGACAUCAGAAUUGUUCUGUCUUUAAGGCUAUUGUGCAUAAGAGUGUAACAUCUAUGCAUAGUUCCUCUGUGAACAUAAGUUUUCACUUUUUUGAAAUAAAUGCCCUAGGGUAUCAUUCCUGGUUGUAUGGGAACCACAAGUUUACUUAUUUAAGAAGCUGCCAUACUCUUUACCAGAGUUGCUGCACCAUUUCACAUUUCAUCAGCCAAGCAGCAGUGAUCCAGUUUCUCCACAUCCUUGCAGCAUUUAGUGUUGUCACUAUCUUUCAUACCACAAAUUCUGAUAGGAUGGUAGGGAUGUCUCCAUGUGGUUUUUAUGUGCAUUUCUCUCUGGGCUUAUAAGGAACAUCUUUCCAUGUGCUCUGUGCCAUCUCUAUAUCUUCUUCCAUGAACUAUUUGUUUUUGUUUAUUGCUCGUUUUCUGAGUGGAUGUUAUCUUUACUGUUUAGAUUUGAGAGUUUUUGUAUAAUCUAUACGCUAGUUGUUCGCUGGAUAUGUGGUUUGCAAAUAUUUUCUCUCUGUUACUUGGGUUUUUUCAAUCUUCUUUAGAAAGUUUUACAAAGCAAAAGAUAAUUUUGACAAGGUUCAGUAUAUUAUUCUCCUUUUACGAAUCAUGCUGCUGGAGUAAUCAAAGAAUUCUUGCCUAACCCUAGAUCCCAAGGAUUUCUCCUACAUUUUUUUCUAAAACAAAAAAAAAAAGGGAUUUCCUGAGAGGUACAUGAGCAAUUUCCCUGUAUCUGAUCAUGAAUUCUGGCCUCUCAUACAACAGCGUAACCACAGUCCCUACAAGCUCCUGAUUCAAGCACGGUCCAGCCCAACUGCGUGGGUGGCCCAUCACUAGAGCAGGACUGAGAGGAAGCCCAGGGCACAGACUGAGGUGUGUGAGUAUGUGCUGGGGCAGGGGUCAGCACUUUCUCACUCAACACCAGAAGGAGCUCUGAGUGCUCAGAGACAGGCCUUGGGAACAGGACCCACUUUCACAGCCUGCUUUAAGCUCAGCCAUUUUCUCCUUAGCAGGAAGGCACCCAACAAGCCCACAAAAAGGAAGGAAGUAGAUUUGCAUUUCUUCAGAGAAUAAGAGAGGCUCUGAGGCACGUCCCCAGCUGUGGUCUCAGAGGCAGAGCUCUGGGGCAUCUCCACCAUGGCCUGGACCCCUCUCCUGCUCCUCCUCCUCACUCUCUGCACAGGCUCUGUGGCUUCUUCUAUGCUGACUCAGCCACUUACCUUGUCCGUGGCCUUUGGAAGCACAGUCACUAUCACAUGCCAGGGAGAGCUCCUAGACAGUUAUUAUGCUGAGUGGUACCAGCAGAAGCCAGACCAGGCUCCCGUGCUGGUCAUAUAUUAUGGAAGCAAACGUCCUUCGGGGAUUUCUACCCGAUUCUCUGGCUCCUACUCAAGCAAGAUGGCCACCCUGACCCUCAGUGGGGCCUUGGCCGAGGAUGAGGCUGACUAUUACUGUCAGGUGUGGGACAGCAGUGGUAACCAGCCCACAGUGACACAGGCUGAUGGGGAAGUGAGACACAAACCCCUUUCCCAUCUGUCUCAGACUCUCCUCCAGCCCCAAGAAGACUGUAGACAAAGCCAUGAGCAGGUCUGUUCCAGGUCCUCAGAUCUGAGAUCCCCAGGCUCCGUCUCCUCUCAACCCUCCAGGCAGGCUCUGCAGAGGGUGGGUCAGCACAGGACACAAAAACAGCUGUUAUGACAACAGCUCAUUUGUUAGAGUGGGCAGACAAAAGAUUGAACAUGUUAGGAGCAGAUAUGGAAGACAUUCUAAAAUCACCAAUUAAAUUUCUUGGAGAUGAAAAUGACAUGGUGUGUGAUUUAAAAAUACACUGGGUGAGACUGAUAUCAGAUUAGAUCCUGAAAAUAAGAGAUUUUUUUAACUUGAUAUCAUGGUAAUAGAAACCAUUCAAAAUAAAACCAAAAGAAAAAGGUUGAAAAAAUGAAUAAAGCCUCAGUGAGUUGUAGGAAAACUUCAGCAGCCUAAGUAGUGUGUACUUGGAGGAACUGAGGGAGAGAGGAAGGGAAGCGGCUG